GUUCCUUGUGUCCCUGUUCCAUCAGGUCCAGGGGGUGUGCCUCUGGCCUGAAAAACUGUAUAAAAAUGCAAGCUGUUCUAUAAACCUUCAGACCUUCUUACCCUCAACUCGCAACCUCGUCUCGUGUUGUAGGGAACUGCUAUAAUCACAUUGGGGGUUGCUAUACUCUGUAUACUCCCCUGGGUUUUAAUCACUAGCUCUUCUAAAAGCUGUUCCUGCUUCACUCUCUGAAGGAAGAGAGGUUCACCCACUGGAGCCUGGUCGUAGGUCCAGGGUGGGUAGGAAAUGGCGAGACCCCAACCAAGCUGCGGCGGUUUGUGGGGUCUGCAGUGCUUAUGGUGUCUGGUGUGGUGCUGAUGGUCCUUGGUAAGCACUAG
Pelobates cultripes (western spadefoot toad) is the source of this 377-nucleotide non-coding RNA. The record is from the annotation of a GenBank genome assembly. Lineage: Eukaryota; Metazoa; Chordata; Amphibia; Anura; Pelobatidae.